CAAAGCAGGUCGUCUUCAAACUCUCACAUGGAGCAGGCCCGGCAGGAUAUUGGUAAUUCUAAAGGAUCACUCCGACCUAUGAGCUCAAAUUCUAGAAGUGACCAGAGUGGAGUAUCUGAUUCCCCUAAAUCCAACUUGCCAAUGAGCAAGUCUCUCUCGGGAAAUCAACAUAUUAACAGACUGCAUCACUCUGUGGGUCAUCAGAAAGGUGUUCAGUGGAAGCCCAAGUUAACCAAGAAAUCGAGCGUAACAGAUCCCGGGGUUAUUGGAAAACCUUCUGAAGGUGUCUAUUUAACUAGUAAGUCAGAAGACUUGGAAAAAGAAGGAUCUCAGUUGCAAGAUAAGAUGUCAAGGCUAAACAUCUCAGAGAAUGUGAUCAUAGCUGAACAUAUUCGUGUUUCUGAGACUGACCGGUGUCGCCUGACCUUUGGCAGCUUUGGAGCUGAAUUUAAAUCUGCGAAAGAUUUGGAAGAAGAAUCACAGACCAAGUCAUCAAGACUGUCGGUUUUGGUUUCUGAAUCUUCCACUGAUGAUCCUGUUGGGAGCAAGCAACUAGAUUUGGCUGAUGAUCACGUUCAGAAUCCAGAGUCUACUUCUCCUGUAUCUGAUGUAAUUUCAGAUCAGAAGCUGUCAGAUAAUAGAGAGUCUUCAAGUCCUGAGGAUUUGGGUAAUUAUGCAGAUGUUGGGUUGGUUCAAGAUAAAAGUGCAUCAUAUACUCCCCCAGAGUCUCAACAGCAGCAAAAUGCUUCUAAUUUAUCAAGUUUCUCGGCUUAUGAUCCCCAAACUGGGUAUGAUAUACCAUAUUUUAGACCAGCAGUAGAUGAAGCUCUUCGCGACCAGGGUCUCCAAGAGGCCCUAAGUUCACACGCUGCAAAUAGCAUGCCUGUAUCGUCAAUUCCAAUGGUGCAACAAGUACAACAGCAUCAACCAAUUGCACAGAUGUAUCCCCAAGUUCAUGUUUCCCAUUAUGCUAAUCUUAUGCCAUACCGCCAUGUUUUCUCUCCUGUCUAUGUUCCUCCAAUGGCGAUGCCUGGCUAUUCUAGUAAUGCUGCUUACCCUCAUCCGCCAAACGGUAGCAACUACUUGCUGAUGCCUGGUGGUGGCUCCCAUCUUAGCGCAAAUGGACUCAAGUAUGGAAUCCAGCAGUUCAAGCCUGUUCCCACAGGCAGUGCUUCAGGGUUUGGAAAUUUUACUAGUCCAACUGGCUAUGCUAUAAACACUCCUGGUGUAAUUGGCAGUGCAACAGGUCUUAAAGAUUCAUCUCGGAUGAAGUACAAGGAUG
Molecule: unclassified non-coding RNA, 1282 nt
Filed under: Hevea brasiliensis (rubber tree)
Lineage: Eukaryota; Viridiplantae; Streptophyta; Magnoliopsida; Malpighiales; Euphorbiaceae
Source: RNAcentral